This 1235-nucleotide long non-coding RNA is filed under the name Oncorhynchus mykiss (rainbow trout). Its description in RNAcentral is "lncRNA (ENSOMYG00000069418.1)". The record is from RNAcentral. Lineage: Eukaryota; Metazoa; Chordata; Actinopteri; Salmoniformes; Salmonidae.
GGUCUGUCCAGUGACCAGGUCUGUCCUGUCUCCAGUGACCAGGUCUGUCCUGUGACCAGGUCUGUCCAGUGACCAGGUCUGUCCUGUCUCCAGUGACCAGGUCUGUCCUGUGACCAGGUCUGCCCUGUCUCCUGUGACCAGGUCUGUCCUGUGACCAGGUCUGUCCUGUGACCAGGUCUGUCCAGUGACCGGGUCUGUCCAGUGACCAGGUCUGUCCUGUGACCAGGUCUGUCCAGUGACCAGGUCUGUCCUGUCUCCAGUGACCAGGUCUGUCCUGUCUCCAGUGACUAGGUCUGUCCUGUGACCAGGUCUGUCCAGUGACCAGGUCUGUCCUGUCUCCAGUGACCAGGUCUGUCCUGUGACCAGGUCUGUCCAGUGACCAGGUCUGUCCUGUCUCCAGUGACCAGGUCUGUCCUGUGACCAGGUCUGUCCUGUGACCAGGUCUGUCCAGUGACCAGGUCUGUCCUGUCUCCUGUGACCAGGUCUGUCCAGUGACCAGGUCUGUCCUGUGACCAGGUCUGUCCAGUGACCAGGUCUGUCCUGUCUCCUGUGACCAGGUCUGUCCAGUGACCAGGUCUGUCCUGUGACCAGGUCUGUCCUGUGACCAGGUCUGCCCUGUCUCCUGUGACCAGUUCUGUCCUGUGACCAGGUCUGUCCUAUGACCAGGUCUGUCCUGUGACCAGGUCUGUCCAGUGACCGGGUCUGUCCAGUGACCAGGUCUGUCCUGUGACCAGGUCUGUCCAGUGACCAGGUCUGUCCUGUCUCCAGUGACCAGGUCUGUCCUGUCUCCAGUGACUAGGUCUGUCCUGUGACCAGGUCUGUCCAGUGACCAGGUCUGUCCUGUCUCCAGUGACCAGGUCUGUCCUGUGACCAGGUCUGUCCAGUGACCAGGUCUGUCCUGUCUCCAGUGACCAGGUCUGUCCUGUGACCAGGUCUGUCCUGUGACCAGGUCUGUCCAGUGACCAGGUCUGUCCAGUGACCGGGUCUGUCCUGUGACCGGGUCUGUCCUGUGACCAGGUCUGUCCUGUCUCCUGUGACCAGGUCUGUCCUGUGACCAGGUCUGUCCUGUGACCAGGUCUGUCCUGUCUCCUGUGACCAGUUUUGUCCAGUGACCAGGUCUGUCCAGUGAACAGGUCUGUCCUGUGACCAGGUCUGUCCUGUGACCGGGUCUGUCCUGUGACCGGGUCUGUCCUGUGACCAGGUCUGUCCAGUGACCAGGUCUGCCCUGUCUCCUG